UAUACCAGGAGGGGUUAGCAGGAGGCGGCUCCUGGGAGGCUCAGCAUAGAGGCUGCCUGCCUCGGGCAAGGUCCAGCUGCCGCCUGUCCACACGUCUCCGCCUGUUAGUGCCACUUAAGCAGAGAGAUCCGAAGCGGUGGUGGCACGUUGGGCUUCUCAUGGGAGACCUUG
This is a non-coding RNA of Microcebus murinus (gray mouse lemur), 171 nucleotides long. The record is from RefSeq and is a predicted model, not a curated record. Lineage: Eukaryota; Metazoa; Chordata; Mammalia; Primates; Cheirogaleidae.